UAGAAUAGUUAGGGCUGGAAAGGACCUUAAGAUCAUUGAGUUCCAACUCCCUGCCAUAGGCAGGGAUGCCUCACACUAGAACAUUUCACCCAAGGCUCUGUCCAACCUGGCCUUGAACACUGCAAAGGAUGGAGCAUUUACCACUUCUUUGGGCAACCUGUGCCAUUGCCUCACCACCCUCACAGUAAAGAACUCCUUCCUUAUCUCCAACCUGAACUUUCCCUGUUUCAGUUUGAACCCAUCACCCCUUGUCCUAUCACUCCAGUCCCUGAUGAAGAGCCCCUCUCCAGCAUCCUUGGAGCCCCCUUCAGACACUGGAAACUGCUCUGAAGUCUCCACGCAGUCUUCUCUUCUCCAGGCUGAGCAGCCCCAACUUUCUCAGCCGAUCUUCAUAUGGGAGGUGCUCCAUCCCCUGAUCAUCCUCGCGGCCUCCUCUGGACUUGUUCCAACAGAUCCAUGUCCUUUUUAUGUUGAGGACACCAGAACUGCACACAAUACUCCAAGUGAGGUCUCACGAGAGCAGAGUAGAGGGGCAGGAUCACCUCCUUCGACCUGCUGGUCACGCUCCUUUUGAUGCAGCCCAGGAUACGGUUGCUUUCUGGGCUGCAAGCGCACACUGAAGCCGGCUCAUGUUCAUUUUCUCAUGGACCAGCACCCCCAAGUCCUUCUCCUCAGGGCUGCUCUGAAUCUCUUCUCUGCCCAGCCUGUAGCUGUGUCUGGGAUUGCUCCGACCCAGGUGUAGGACCUUGCACUUGGCAUGGUUAAACUUCAUGAGGUUGGCAUCAGCCCACCUCACAAGCGUGUCAAGGUCCCUCUGGAUGGCAUUCCUUCCCUCCAGCGGAUCAACCGAACCACACAGCUUGGUGUCAUCGGCAAACUUGCUGAGGGCGCACUCAA
This is a long non-coding RNA of Neopsephotus bourkii (Bourke's parrot), 897 nucleotides long. RefSeq lists it as uncharacterized. The transcript has 3 exons. The record is from RefSeq and is a predicted model, not a curated record. Lineage: Eukaryota; Metazoa; Chordata; Aves; Psittaciformes; Psittacidae.